Molecule: non-coding RNA, 26 nt
Filed under: Rattus norvegicus (Norway rat)
Lineage: Eukaryota; Metazoa; Chordata; Mammalia; Rodentia; Muridae
Source: RNAcentral
UGCAUUCCUGGGAGGGUUCUGAAGGC